UCUCCGUUGGUGAACCAGCGGAGGGAUCAUUACAGGACUCGCAAGCCUCCUACACCCCUGUGAACUUAACUAUAAGCACGUUGCUUGGGCGGGUGUCUCGGAGGGGGUUCUCCCUCCCCGAGACGCUAAACCCGCCGGCAGCCUACUAUACUCUGUCUCUUUGCGUUGGCAUCUCGAGUACAAUCAAACAAGUUAAAACUUUCAACAACGGAUCUCUUGGUUCU
RNAcentral lists this unclassified non-coding RNA (224 nucleotides) under plant metagenome. RNAcentral's name for it is "partial contains small subunit ribosomal RNA, internal transcribed spacer 1, and 5.8S ribosomal RNA". The record is from RNAcentral.